This 341-nucleotide non-coding RNA is filed under the name Pan troglodytes (chimpanzee). The record is from RNAcentral. Lineage: Eukaryota; Metazoa; Chordata; Mammalia; Primates; Hominidae.
GUUUGUUUGUUUGUGACAGAGCCUUGCUCUGUCGCCCAGGCUGGAGUGCAACUCCAUCUCAAAAAAGUAUCACAUAGAGAUGAGUUGUAUGUACUCGUUCACAUUGUGAAAUAUUAAUAUGUCAAUAUGAGUGAUGGUUAAAAAAAGGUAAUAAAACACUUUUAGGGUAAACAGCACUAUAUCUAGAACCACAAGACCAAGGGCACAGUCUAACUCAUGACAUCAAUGGACUCAUUCAAUUUGAGCCAUGGUUUCAGCCAGUGUAAAUGAAAGUAUACCUACUCCUGCAUCUCAGCCAUUCUUACCUGGGCAAAGGUUUUAUAUCAGUGUAACCAAAACGG